CAGUCGCCACGGGAAUACAGAGGGUGCGAGCGUUAAUCGGAUUUACUGGGCGUAAAGCGUGCGUAGGCGGCUUCUUAAGUCGGAUGUGAAAUCCCUGAGCUUAACUUAGGAAUUGCAUUCGAUACUGGGAAGCUAGAGUAUGGGAGAGGAUGGUAGAAUUCCAGGUGUAGCGGUGAAAUGCGUAGAGAUCUGGAGGAAUACCGAUGGCGAAGGCAGCCAUCUGGCCUAAUACUGACGCUGAGGUACGAAAGCAUGGGGAGCAAACAGGAUUAGAGACCCGGGUAGUCCCUGUCUCUUAUAC
RNAcentral lists this ribosomal RNA (301 nucleotides) under uncultured bacterium. RNAcentral's name for it is "partial 16S ribosomal RNA". It matches the Rfam family "Bacterial small subunit ribosomal RNA", at positions 509 to 807 of the family's 1533-position model. The record is from RNAcentral.